RNAcentral lists this transfer RNA (62 nucleotides) under Stenocranus matsumurai. RNAcentral describes it as "tRNA-Met". Lineage: Eukaryota; Metazoa; Arthropoda; Insecta; Hemiptera; Delphacidae. The record is from RNAcentral.
AAAAAGAUAAGCUAAAUUAAGCUUUUGGGCCCAUAACUCAAAUAUGAUAAAAUCUCUUUUUA